AGUGAACGCUGGCGGUAGGCCUAACACAUGCAAGUCGAACGGCAGCACAGUAAGAGCUUGCUCUUACGGGUGGCGAGUGGCGGACGGGUGAGGAAUACAUCGGAAUCUACUUUUUCGUGGGGGAUAACGUAGGGAAACUUACGCUAAUACCGCAUACGACCUACGGGUGAAAGCAGGGGAUCUUCGGACCUUGCGCGAUUGAAUGAGCCGAUGUCGGAUUAGCUAGUUGGCGGGGUAAAGGCCCACCAAGGCGACGAUCCGUAGCUGGUCUGAGAGGAUGAUCAGCCACACUGGAACUGAGACACGGUCCAGACUCCUACGGGAGGCAGCAGUGGGGAAUAUUGGACAAUGGGCGCAAGCCUGAUCCAGCCAUACCGCGUGGGUGAAGAAGGGCUUCGGGUUGUAAAGCCCUUUUGUUGGGAAAGAAAAGCAGCAGGUUAAUACCUCGCUGUUCUGACGGUACCCAAAGAAUAAGCACCGGCUAACUUCGUG
Molecule: ribosomal RNA, 492 nt
Filed under: uncultured bacterium
Lineage: Bacteria
Description: partial 16S ribosomal RNA
Rfam family: Bacterial small subunit ribosomal RNA
Source: RNAcentral